CACACUCCCUUCAUGAGUAGCUUGUGAACUACUACCAUUUGGCAAGCUUACAGGGCAGCAGCUAAUUUUUCGCACAUCGAUCAUCCAAUCUAAUCUCCCUAUUAUAUGGUGUGUUGCCCCCGUAUCAAAAAUCCAAGAAUACUCACCAGAGAGUCGAUCCUUGGGUGUCGGCAGAUUGAGAAGAUCAAGAAUGUUUUGCCAUUGUUCCGGAGUUAUGUUCGACAAUCCAGCCUUCUCUGCGGUGUUAGACGGGUGUCCCUGGGUCUGUUGCGGUUGUGUCGAGGUGCUAGCAGUGGCUUUGUUUGCCCUGGCAGCCAUGCCUCCUCGCCCUCUCCC
Molecule: long non-coding RNA, 336 nt
Filed under: Ricinus communis (castor bean)
Lineage: Eukaryota; Viridiplantae; Streptophyta; Magnoliopsida; Malpighiales; Euphorbiaceae
Description: long non-coding RNA (RCOM_LNC000175)
Source: RNAcentral